UUUGUUUGGAGAGUUUGAUCCUGGCUCAGGACGAACGCUGGCGGCGUGCUUAACACAUGCAAGUCGAACGGAAAGGCCCUUCGGGGUACUCGAGUGGCGAACGGGUGAGUAACACGUGGGUGAUCUGCCCUGCACUUUGGGAUAAGCCUGGGAAACUGGGUCUAAUACCGAAUAUACCUC
Molecule: ribosomal RNA, 180 nt
Filed under: Mycolicibacterium litorale
Lineage: Bacteria; Bacillati; Actinomycetota; Actinomycetes; Mycobacteriales; Mycobacteriaceae
Description: partial 16S ribosomal RNA
Rfam family: Bacterial small subunit ribosomal RNA
Source: RNAcentral